CCUACGGGAGGCAGCAGUGGGGAAUAUUGGACAAUGGGCGCAAGCCUGAUCCAGCAAUGCCGCGUGAGUGUUGAAGGCCUUCGGGUUGUAAAGCUCUUUCGCACGCGACGAUGAUGACGGUAGCGUGAGAAGAAGCCCCGGCUAACUUCGUGCCAGCAGCCGCGGUAAUA
Molecule: ribosomal RNA, 170 nt
Filed under: uncultured bacterium
Lineage: Bacteria
Description: partial 16S ribosomal RNA
Rfam family: Bacterial small subunit ribosomal RNA
Source: RNAcentral